CCUACGGGUGGCAGCAGUGAGGAAUAUUGGUCAAUGGACGAGAGUCUGAACCAGCCAAGUAGCGUGAAGGAUGACUGCCCUAUGGGUUGUAAACUUCUUUUAUAUGGGAAUAAAAUGUUCCACGUGUGGGAUUUUGUAUGUACCAUAUGAAUAAGGAUCGGCUAACUCCGUGCCAGCAGCCGCGGUAAUACGGAGGAUCCGAGCGUUAUCCGGAUUUAUUGGGUUUAAAGGGAGCGUAGGUGGAUGGUUAAGUCAGUUGUGAAAGUUUGCGGCUCAACCGUAAAAUUGCAGUUGAAACUGGCAGUCUUGAGUGCAGUAGAGGUGGGCGGAAUUCGUGGUGUAGCGGUGAAAUGCUUAGAUAUCACGAAGAACUCCGAUUGCGAAGGCAGUUCACUGGACUGCAACUGACGCUGAGGCACGAAAGUGUGGGUAUCAAACAGGAUUAGAUACCCGGGUAGUC
Molecule: ribosomal RNA, 460 nt
Filed under: uncultured bacterium
Lineage: Bacteria
Description: partial 16S ribosomal RNA
Rfam family: Bacterial small subunit ribosomal RNA
Source: RNAcentral